CCCGCCCUCAGCGCCUGUGGGGCGCCGCCCGGCGCCAUCUUGAGCGCGGCACCUCUCCGCCUUCCCCGAAGGUUAGCGAGAGCGUAGGGCGCGUUGCCAUCGCUCUCUCACACCGCCGCUAUUCGGAGAUGGAGAGUUGAAGGGGGGUGCCGAGAGCGGGACGUGGAGAAAGGCUCGGUUGCAAGCUCUUCAGGGCAGAGGAAACAUCUCUAUUUAUAAAACAGCCUGCGAAGUGGUACUGCUGAAUCGAGUGGUUUGUUAAAAUAACAAGAAAUUUUAGCAGAAAUCUGACGUGGAAAAGCAGUUUCCUGUGUAUCCACCUCUGCUCCGUACCUGGCUUUGAGAGAGGCUGAGAAGUGAAAAAAUUCCAGGCUUCUUUCAGGAAGAUUCAUCUUUCUGUCAGACAGAGGAUCAAGCUGAAUUUUUGUCUUAGAGAAACUGUUCCACUGCCGUAGCAGGAGAAGUCUUAAGGAACAGCCCAGGAGAAGCCGUGUGGGCUGACAAGGAGCCAGAAGAGCCACAAGAAGCACUGAAGGCAGAUCUAAAAGCCAAGGCCGUUCUGCUGUUGCAUGCUCUUGCUGAGGUUUGUUUG
This is a long non-coding RNA of Gallus gallus (chicken), 592 nucleotides long. The record is from Ensembl. Lineage: Eukaryota; Metazoa; Chordata; Aves; Galliformes; Phasianidae.